GGUUAAGCGACUAAGCGUACACGGUGGAUGCCCUGGCAGUCAGAGGCGAUGAAGGACGUGCUAAUCUGCGAUAAGCGUCGGUAAGGUGAUAUGAACCGUUAUAACCGGCGAUUUCCGAAUGGGGAAACCCAGUGUGAUUCGUCACACUAUCAUUAACUGAAUCCAUAGGUUAAUGAGGCGAACCGGGGGAACUGAAACAUCUAAGUACCCCGAGGAAAAGAAAUCAACCGAGAUUCCCCCAGUAGCGGCGAGCGAACGGGGAGCAGCCCAGAGCCUGAAUCAGUGUGUGUGUUAGUGGAAGCGUCUGGAAAGGCGUGCGAUACAGGGUGACAGCCCCGUACACAAAAAUGCACAUGCUGUGAGCUCGAUGAGUAGGGCGGGACACGUGGUAUCCUGUCUGAAUAUGGGGGGACCAUCCUCCAAGGCUAAAUACUCCUGACUGACCGAUAGUGAACCAGUACCGUGAGGGAAAGGCGAAAAGAACCCCGGCGAGGGGAGUGAAAAAGAACCUGAAACCGUGUACGUACAAGCAGUGGGAGCACGCUUAGGCGUGUGACUGCGUACCUUUUGUAUAAUGGGUCAGCGACUUAUAUUCUGUAGCAAGGUUAACCGAAUAGGGGAGCCGAAGGGAAACCGAGUCUUAACUGGGCGUUAAGUUGCAGGGUAUAGACCCGAAACCCGGUGAUCUAGCCAUGGGCAGGUUGAAGGUUGGGUAACACUAACUGGAGGACCGAACCGACUAAUGUUGAAAAAUUAGCGGAUGACUUGUGGCUGGGGGUGAAAGGCCAAUCAAACCGGGAGAUAGCUGGUUCUCCCCGAAAGCUAUUUAGGUAGCGCCUCGUGAAUUCAUCUCCGGGGGUAGAGCACUGUUUCGGCAAGGGGGUCAUCCCGACUUACCAACCCGAUGCAAACUGCGAAUACCGGAGAAUGUUAUCACGGGAGACACACGGCGGGUGCUAACGUCCGUCGUGAAGAGGGAAACAACCCAGACCGCCAGCUAAGGUCCCAAAGUCAUGGUUAAGUGGGAAACGAUGUGGGAAGGCCCAGACAGCCAGGAUGUUGGCUUAGAAGCAGCCAUCAUUUAAAGAAAGCGUAAUAGCUCACUGGUCGAGUCGGCCUGCGCGGAAGAUGUAACGGGGCUAAACCAUGCACCGAAGCUGCGGCAGCGACGCUUAUGCGUUGUUGGGUAGGGGAGCGUUCUGUAAGCCUGCGAAGGUGUGCUGUGAGGCAUGCUGGAGGUAUCAGAAGUGCGAAUGCUGACAUAAGUAACGAUAAAGCGGGUGAAAAGCCCGCUCGCCGGAAGACCAAGGGUUCCUGUCCAACGUUAAUCGGGGCAGGGUGAGUCGACCCCUAAGGCGAGGCCGAAAGGCGUAGUCGAUGGGAAACAGGUUAAUAUUCCUGUACUUGGUGUUACUGCGAAGGGGGGACGGAGAAGGCUAUGUUGGCCGGGCGACGGUUGUCCCGGUUUAAGCGUGUAGGCUGGUUUUCCAGGCAAAUCCGGAAAAUCAAGGCUGAGGCGUGAUGACGAGGCACUACGGUGCUGAAGCAACAAAUGCCCUGCUUCCAGGAAAAGCCUCUAAGCAUCAGGUAACAUCAAAUCGUACCCCAAACCGACACAGGUGGUCAGGUAGAGAAUACCAAGGCGCUUGAGAGAACUCGGGUGAAGGAACUAGGCAAAAUGGUGCCGUAACUUCGGGAGAAGGCACGCUGAUAUGUAGGUGAAGUCCCUCGCGGAUGGAGCUGAAAUCAGUCGAAGAUACCAGCUGGCUGCAACUGUUUAUUAAAAACACAGCACUGUGCAAACACGAAAGUGGACGUAUACGGUGUGACGCCUGCCCGGUGCCGGAAGGUUAAUUGAUGGGGUUAGCGCAAGCGAAGCUCUUGAUCGAAGCCCCGGUAAACGGCGGCCGUAACUAUAACGGUCCUAAGGUAGCGAAAUUCCUUGUCGGGUAAGUUCCGACCUGCACGAAUGGCGUAAUGAUGGCCAGGCUGUCUCCACCCGAGACUCAGUGAAAUUGAACUCGCUGUGAAGAUGCAGUGUACCCGCGGCAAGACGGAAAGACCCCGUGAACCUUUACUAUAGCUUGACACUGAACAUUGAGCCUUGAUGUGUAGGAUAGGUGGGAGGCUUUGAAGUGUGGACGCCAGUCUGCAUGGAGCCGACCUUGAAAUACCACCCUUUAAUGUUUGAUGUUCUAACGUUGACCCGUAAUCCGGGUUGCGGACAGUGUCUGGUGGGUAGUUUGACUGGGGCGGUCUCCUCCUAAAGAGUAACGGAGGAGCACGAAGGUUGGCUAAUCCUGGUCGGACAUCAGGAGGUUAGUGCAAUGGCAUAAGCCAGCUUGACUGCGAGCGUGACGGCGCGAGCAGGUGCGAAAGCAGGUCAUAGUGAUCCGGUGGUUCUGAAUGGAAGGGCCAUCGCUCAACGGAUAAAAGGUACUCCGGGGAUAACAGGCUGAUACCGCCCAAGAGUUCAUAUCGACGGCGGUGUUUGGCACCUCGAUGUCGGCUCAUCACAUCCUGGGGCUGAAGUAGGUCCCAAGGGUAUGGCUGUUCGCCAUUUAAAGUGGUACGCGAGCUGGGUUUAGAACGUCGUGAGACAGUUCGGUCCCUAUCUGCCGUGGGCGCUGGAGAAUUGAGGGGGGCUGCUCCUAGUACGAGAGGACCGGAGUGGACGCAUCACUGGUGUUCGGGUUGUCAUGCCAAUGGCACUGCCCGGUAGCUAAAUGCGGAAGAGAUAAGUGCUGAAAGCAUCUAAGCACGAAACUUGCCCCGAGAUGAGUUCUCCCUGACUCCUUGAGAGUCCUGAAGGAACGUUGAAGACGACGACGUUGAUAGGCCGGGUGUGUAAGCGCAGCGAUGCGUUGAGCUAACCGGUACUAAUGAACCGUGAGGCUUAACCUUAC
This 2906-nucleotide ribosomal RNA is filed under the name Escherichia coli O157:H43 str. T22. Its description in RNAcentral is "bacterial LSU rRNA". It matches the Rfam family "Bacterial large subunit ribosomal RNA". The record is from RNAcentral. Lineage: Bacteria; Pseudomonadati; Pseudomonadota; Gammaproteobacteria; Enterobacterales; Enterobacteriaceae.